GAUGAACGCUGGCGGCGUGCCUAAUACAUGCAAGUCGAGCGAACAGACGAGGAGCUUGCUCCUCUGACGUUAGCGGCGGACGGGUGAGUAACACGUGGAUAACCUACCUAUAAGACUGGGAUAACUUCGGGAAACCGGAGCUACUACCGGCUAAUAUAUUGAACCGCAUGGUUCAAUAGUGAAAGACGGUUUUGCUGUCACUUAUAGAUGGAUCCGCGCCGCAUUAGCUAGUUGGUAAGGUAACGGCUUACCAAGGCAACGAUGCGUAGCCGACCUGAGAGGGUGAUCGGCCACACUGGAACUGAGACACGGUCCAGACUCCGACGGGAGGCAGCAGUAGGGAAUCUUCCGCAAUGGGCGAAAGCUUGACGGAGCAACGCCGCGUGAGUGAUGAAGGUCUUCGGAUCGUAAAACUCUGUUAUUAGGGAAGAACAAAUGUGUAAGUAACUCUGCACGUCUUGACGGUACCUAAACAGAAAGCCACGGCUAACUACGUG
Molecule: ribosomal RNA, 497 nt
Filed under: uncultured bacterium
Lineage: Bacteria
Description: partial 16S ribosomal RNA
Rfam family: Bacterial small subunit ribosomal RNA
Source: RNAcentral